GGGCCUGUAGCUCAAUUGGUCAGAGCCGGCGGCUCAUAACCGCUUGGUUGGGGGUUCGAGUCCCUCCAGGCCCACCA
Molecule: transfer RNA, 77 nt
Filed under: Pseudohoeflea suaedae
Lineage: Bacteria; Pseudomonadati; Pseudomonadota; Alphaproteobacteria; Hyphomicrobiales; Rhizobiaceae
Also listed under: 2 other names
Description: tRNA-Met
Rfam family: tRNA
About the family: Transfer RNA (tRNA) molecules are approximately 80 nucleotides in length. Their secondary structure includes four short double-helical elements and three loops (D, anti-codon, and T loops).
Source: RNAcentral